UACAGAGGUCUCAAGCGUUGUUCGGAUUCAUUGGGCGUAAAGGGUGCGUAGGCGGCGCGGUAAGUCGGGUGUGAAAUCUUGGAGCUUAACUCCGAAACUGCAUUUGAUACUGCCGCGCUUGAGGACUGGAGAGGGGACUGGAAUUUACGGUGUAGCGGUGAAAUGCGUAGAUAUCGUAAGGAAGACCAGUGGCGAAGGCGGGUCUCUGGACAGUUCCUGACGCUGAGGCACGAAGGCCAGGGGAGCAAACGGG
RNAcentral lists this ribosomal RNA (253 nucleotides) under uncultured bacterium. RNAcentral describes it as "partial 16S ribosomal RNA". It matches the Rfam family "Bacterial small subunit ribosomal RNA", at positions 524 to 776 of the family's 1533-position model. The record is from RNAcentral.